UUGCUUUCAAGCUUCAAGGAUCCCAACGAAAAUCAUCCAUUCUCAUCUUCCAUCCACGGUUAAAUAAGCGGAGUUGUGGAUUUCAGAAGAAGUUGUACCAAAAUGGAACUAAUUGGAGUUAUCGACAAAGGACGAAAAGUCAUGAGUGGUCAAACAUGGUCAACUCGAGCGAGGAGGUGGAAACCGAUCACCCUAAGAUAAUUUUGCGGAGGUGCCUCAAGACCGAAGCAAAAGAAAGAAAGAAAGAAAAAUAGAAUAAUAAUAUGAGGGAUUAAUUAAGCAAUGUUUACUUAAUUAAACAAAUGUUUAAUUAUUUAGACAUUUGUUAUGCAUGGUGGCAUGUGGUCACGUGGAUGAUAGGCACUAGCUUAAUUAACCAUUUUGGUUGAUUAAGCAAUUCAAGCAUCAGGUGUGCUUCCUCCUUUCCCUUCUAUCCGGUUUCUUUCUCUCUAAAGCCAACCACACGGUGACACUUGGAAAGCAAUAUCUCCCUCUAGCCCAUCGUCAGCCGCUCAUCCACUAUUCAACCCACUCUCCCCUCUCUGCAUAUAUAUAGACCACGACCUACUCCCUAUCUUUAGCUCUCAACCUCCACGGCCGCACACCCCAGGGCCCAGACCCCAUUUUUCCUUCCUCUCUUCAACAGCACCGCAACUCACCCACUCUCCCAUUUUCCCUCACUCUUCCACAUUAAAGUAUUGGGCUCUUCUCAAAUUUCAUCAAGAAAGAUCAUCAAGACCUUAAUUUCAUCUUGGGUAGUUAGGAGGAUUCAAGCUAGCUUAGUUUUCUUUGCUUUCUAGCAUUGUUGAAAUUAAGUAAAGUUUAUCCUCUCUCUUCUCAUCUAUUUUAAUUGUACAUGGUUUUGAUGUUAAAUCUUGUUUUAAUUAUGAGUGAGUAGUUUAAUUUUGGGAGUUAGGGUUGUGAAGCCCUAACUCAUCUUGUAUAAAUAUUGAUGCUUUAAUUUUAAUAAAUGCAAUUUUCA
Molecule: long non-coding RNA, 982 nt
Organism: Rosa chinensis
Lineage: Eukaryota; Viridiplantae; Streptophyta; Magnoliopsida; Rosales; Rosaceae
Exons: 2
Source: RefSeq, a predicted model, not a curated record